AAAGGGAGACCUAAUUCCAGUAGGAGACGAAAAAAAAGUAGUCCCUACCAAGAAUCAAUCCCAAAAGGUCGGAGCGAGGCAAAAUUGGCUUUCAAACUAGGCUCUGGGUUCACACAAGACCUGAAUCAGGAACAAGGGCUAUUAGCUCAGGUGGUUAGAGCGCACCCCUGAUAAGGGUGAGGUCCCUGGUUCGAGUCCAGGAUGGCCCACCUGCACAGGUGGAAGAAAGAAAAGAAGCUCCGAAUCAGCACCUUAUCUUACUUAUAUAGUAAGAGAGAAUGCUGGCUCUGAGUACAGAGUCCAGAGGAACCUUGAAAACUGCAUAGAGCUAGGUGAAAAAGCCAAAAAAGAAGACCGCAAG
RNAcentral lists this transfer RNA (361 nucleotides) under uncultured Microcystis sp. Its description in RNAcentral is "partial 16S-23S ribosomal RNA intergenic spacer". The stretch from base 136 to 209 matches the Rfam family "tRNA". The record is from RNAcentral. Lineage: Bacteria; Bacillati; Cyanobacteriota; Cyanophyceae; Chroococcales; Microcystaceae.